RNAcentral lists this ribosomal RNA (464 nucleotides) under uncultured bacterium. RNAcentral's name for it is "partial 16S ribosomal RNA". It matches the Rfam family "Bacterial small subunit ribosomal RNA", at positions 28 to 507 of the family's 1533-position model. The record is from RNAcentral.
GACGAACGCUGGCGGCGUGCUUAACACAUGCAAGUCGAACGGUAAGGCCCUUUCGGGGGUACACGAGUGGCGAACGGGUGAGUAACACGUGGGUGAUCUGCCCUGCACUUUGGGAUAAGCCUGGGAAACUGGGUCUAAUACCGGAUAGGACUACGCGAUGCAUGUCGUGUGGGGGAAAGCUUUUGCGGUGUGGGAUGGGCCCGCGGCCUAUCAGCUUGUUGGUGGGGUGAUGGCCUACCAAGGCGACGACGGGUAGCCGGCCUGAGAGGGUGUCCGGCCACACUGGGACUGAGAUACGGCCCAGACUCCUACGGGAGGCAGCAGUGGGGAAUAUUGCACAAUGGGCGCAAGCCUGAUGCAGCGACGCCGCGUGGGGGAUGACGGCCUUCGGGUUGUAAACCCCUUUCAGCACAGACGAAGCGUGAGUGACGGUAUGUGCAGAAGAAGCACCGGCCAACUACGUG